RNAcentral lists this ribosomal RNA (225 nucleotides) under uncultured Rheinheimera sp. RNAcentral describes it as "partial 16S ribosomal RNA". It matches the Rfam family "Bacterial small subunit ribosomal RNA", at positions 568 to 792 of the family's 1533-position model. Lineage: Bacteria; Pseudomonadati; Pseudomonadota; Gammaproteobacteria; Chromatiales; Chromatiaceae. The record is from RNAcentral.
CACGCAGGCGGUUUCUUAAGUCAGAUGUGAAAGCCCCGGGCUCAACCUGGGAAUUGCAUUUGAAACUGGGAAACUAGAGUACGUGAGAGGGGGGUAGAAUUCCAAGUGUAGCGGUGAAAUGCGUAGAGAUUUGGAGGAAUACCAGUGGCGAAGGCGGCCCCCUGGCACGAUACUGACGCUCAGGUGCGAAAGCGUGGGGAGCAAACAGGAUUAGAUACCCCCGUA